This is a long non-coding RNA of Humulus lupulus (European hop), 332 nucleotides long. RefSeq lists it as uncharacterized. Lineage: Eukaryota; Viridiplantae; Streptophyta; Magnoliopsida; Rosales; Cannabaceae. The transcript has 3 exons. The record is from RefSeq and is a predicted model, not a curated record.
CUUGGUUUUUUGCAUUUUAUUAUACAUAAAAGGCCAUGUGGCACCGUCUUCCACUGAUUCUGGCUCGUCUGGGAACAUCAUAAUUGAUUUCUAUUGGGGUAUGGAACUCUAUCCUCGCAUUGGUAAAAACUUCGACAUUAAAGUUUUUACAAAUUGCAGAUUUGGAAUGAUGUCUUGGGCAGUUCUAGCUGUAACCUAUUGCAUAAAGCAGGUAGCGUCUAUGGGAUAGUUGUGAAUUAUGCCUAAUUAUGUCAGUAAUUCAGCAUCACUUUGUUUAUGUCCAUGGUGUUGGUUGAUGUGCCAGUUGCAAUAUGAAUUGCAUUUUAGGUUUG